RNAcentral lists this ribosomal RNA (497 nucleotides) under uncultured bacterium. RNAcentral's name for it is "partial 16S ribosomal RNA". It matches the Rfam family "Bacterial small subunit ribosomal RNA", at positions 28 to 507 of the family's 1533-position model. The record is from RNAcentral.
GAUGAACGCUGGCGGCGUGCCUAAUACAUGCAAGUCGAGCGAACAGAUGAGGAGCUUGCUCCUCUGACGUUAGCGGCGGACGGGUGAGUAACACGUGGAUAACCUACCUAUAAGACUGGGAUAACUUCGGGAAACCGGAGCUAAUACCGGAUAAUAUAUUGAACCGCAUGGUUCAAUAGUGAAAGACGGUUUUGCUGUCACUUAUAGAUGGAUCCGCGCCGCAUUAGCUAGUUGGUAAGGUAUCGGCUUACCAAGGCAACGAUGCGUAGCCGACCUGAGAGGGUGAUCGGCCACACUGGAACUGAGACACGGUCCAGACUCCUACGGGAGGCAGCAGUAGGGAAUCUUCCGCAAUGGGCGAAAGCCUGACGGAGCAACGCCGCGUGAGUGAUGAAGGUCUUCGGAUCGUAAAACUCUGUUAUUAGGGAAGAACAAAUGUGUAAGUAACUAUGCACGUCUUGACGGUACCUAAUCAGAAAGCCACGGCUAACUACGUG